GGCAAAAAAAUAUAUUUUUUGGUGUGUCUGAGAAUUUUAGUCAUUCGUUUUUGCGUGCCAUGAGAUGGAAAAGGUUGAAAGUCACUGCCCUAAAGCCUGAAGAGCGCCAUCACCCCACCGGGUUCCACAGCCAGCAGCUGGACCCUGAGGACAAGGAUGACUCCUCCUGCCUCAGAGCCAUUGUUCUUUUAGAUAAAUGCAAAAAUGUCCUUGGCUGAGGAUUUUUAAAAAUAAAUAAAUAAAAUAAAUCGCCCAAUGGAUCAUUCAAGGUUUUGCAAAUGGACUUUAUUCAUCUACCCCCGUCUCAUGGAUAGAGAAAUCAAUGGGAAAAAAAAUAUCCUUGGGUGAAGAUUAACUAAAAAAUAAAUAAAAUGACCAUUUUACCAGCAAAAAAUGAGUAUUUCAGAAUGGCAGCGGCAUUGCAGUUUUGAGCUUGUGAACUGGUGAA
This is a long non-coding RNA of Molossus molossus (Pallas's mastiff bat), 448 nucleotides long. RefSeq lists it as uncharacterized. Lineage: Eukaryota; Metazoa; Chordata; Mammalia; Chiroptera; Molossidae. The record is from RefSeq and is a predicted model, not a curated record. The transcript has 3 exons.